This 440-nucleotide ribosomal RNA is filed under the name uncultured bacterium. RNAcentral's name for it is "partial 16S ribosomal RNA". It matches the Rfam family "Bacterial small subunit ribosomal RNA", at positions 338 to 795 of the family's 1533-position model. The record is from RNAcentral.
CCUACGGGAGGCAGCAGUGGGGAAUAUUGCUCAAUGGGGGAAACCCUGAAGCAGCGACGCCGCGUGAGUGAUGAAGGAUCUCGGUAUGUAAAGCCCUUUCAGUAGGGAAGAAAAUGACGGUACCUGACUAAUAAGCCCCGGCUAACUACGUGCCAGCAGCCGCGGUAAUACGUAGGGAGCAAGCGUUAUCCGGAUUUACUGGGUGUAAAGGGAGCGUAGUCGGCAUAGCAAGUCUGAGGUGAAAGCCUGUGGCUCAACCAUAGAACUGCUUUUGAAACUGUGCGGCUGGAGUGUGGGAGAGGUAAGCGGAAUUCGUGGUGUAGCGGUGAAAUGCGUAGAUAUUAGGAGGAACACCGGUGGCGAAGGCGGCUUACUGGACAGUAACUGACGCUGAUGCUCGAAAGCGUGGGGAGCAAACAGGAUUAGAUACCCGAGUAGUC